Molecule: long non-coding RNA, 367 nt
Organism: Gossypium arboreum
Lineage: Eukaryota; Viridiplantae; Streptophyta; Magnoliopsida; Malvales; Malvaceae
Exons: 2
Source: RefSeq, a predicted model, not a curated record
GAAGCAUUCACCCAAUUAAAUACUUAGGAAAACACAAAAUUAAACAAAAAAUCAUGAAGAAGUAUAUUGCCAUUCCCAUUCUUUGCACUCUUCUUUGGCUAACUUUACUUUCUCCAUCCAAAGGGGAUCCCAAGUUUUGCCCAACAACAAUGCAAAUAGUAGGAUCAUGUGGUCCCAAUGGAACCUUUGAAUGUUUUGAAGCCAUUAAUGCGGAGUAUGGAGCUUCCGCAAUGGCACAAAGGUAUUCUUGUAAAGAUUUAUCUGAUAACGAAUCUGUGUCAGUGUUAUAUUGUUUGUCAAUAAUUGUAAUUCUCUUUGAACCUCAUUUACGACUUGCCAUAAUAAAAUAAGUAGUAAAAUUUAAAAA